Long non-coding RNA from Melitaea cinxia (Glanville fritillary), 196 nucleotides. RefSeq lists it as uncharacterized. The record is from RefSeq and is a predicted model, not a curated record. Lineage: Eukaryota; Metazoa; Arthropoda; Insecta; Lepidoptera; Nymphalidae. The transcript is spliced from 2 exons.
ACAUCAAGAUCUGUACGAGUCUUGACGUGUUAGUAGUGAAAUUACGUUUUUACGUGAUUUUAUAUUAGUUUGUCAAGAAAUCUCGUCAUUAAACGCGUGAAUAUAUUUUUGGUUACAUCAUGGCUAAAACAAAAGCAGAGCGUUUAGCCCAACAAAGGCUCUGCAAAAGACGUAAGUAUUUGGAAAUAAAAAAUUA